GACGAACGCUGGCGGCGUGCUUAACACAUGCAAGUCGAACGGAAAGGCCCUGCUUUUGUGGGGUGCUCGAGUGGCGAACGGGUGAGUAACACGUGAGUAACCUGCCCUUGACUUUGGGAUAACUUCAGGAAACUGGGGCUAAUACCGGAUAGGAGCUCCUGCUGCAUGGUGGGGGUUGGAAAGUUUCGGCGGUUGGGGAUGGACUCGCGGCUUAUCAGCUUGUUGGUGGGGUAGUGGAUUACCAAGGCUUUGACGGGUAGCCGGCCUGAGAGGGUGACCGGCCACAUUGGGACUGAGGUACGGCGCAGACUCCAACGGGAGGCAGCAGUGGGGAAUAUUGCACAGUGGGCGGAAGCCUGAUGCAGCAACGCCGCGUGCGGGAUGACGGCCUUCGGGUUGUAAACCGCUUUCGCCUGUGACGAAGCGUGAGUGACGGUAAUGGGUAAAGAAGCACCGGCUAACUACGUG
This 468-nucleotide ribosomal RNA is filed under the name uncultured bacterium. RNAcentral describes it as "partial 16S ribosomal RNA". It matches the Rfam family "Bacterial small subunit ribosomal RNA", at positions 28 to 507 of the family's 1533-position model. The record is from RNAcentral.